GACGAACGCUGGCGGCGUGCUUAACACAUGCAAGUCGAACGGAAAGGCCCUUCGGGGUACUCGAGUGGCGAACGGGUGAGUAACACGUGGGUGAUCUGCCCUGCACUUUGGGAUAAGCCUGGGAAACUGGGUCUAAUACCGAAUAGGACCACGCGCUUCAUGGUGUGUGGUGGAAAGCUUUUGCGGUGUGGGAUGGGCCCGCGGCCUAUCAGCUUGUUGGUGGGGUAAUGGGCUACCAAGGCGACGACGGGUAGCCGGCCUGAGAGGGUGACCGGCCACACUGGGACUGAGAUACGGCCCAGACUCCUACGGGAGGCAGCAGUGGGGAAUAUUGCACAAUGGGCGCAAGCCUGAUGCAGCGACGCCGCGUGAGGGAUGACGGCCUUCGGGUUGUAAACCUCUUUCAAUAGGGACGAAGCGCAAGUGACGGUACCUAUAGAAGAAGCACCGGCCAACUACGUG
This 462-nucleotide ribosomal RNA is filed under the name uncultured bacterium. RNAcentral's name for it is "partial 16S ribosomal RNA". It matches the Rfam family "Bacterial small subunit ribosomal RNA", at positions 28 to 507 of the family's 1533-position model. The record is from RNAcentral.